ACUCUCUUCCUUUUUUUCUCGUGUGUUUUGGCUUCCAAAGAUGGGUGUGACUUCUCCUCAAAACCACAGGCAGUUUUUUUUGUCAGCUCCCAUAAGAAAACAUCCCUUCUCAAAACCAGUUGCCAUGCUCGCUAUAUAUCCUGAACUGAGUUUUUUUUUUUUUUUUUUUAAAAAAGAGGAAUCUUGCACUGCAUGGAUGAGGCUUUUCGGGAACUUGAUGUUGCAUUUUCGGGAUUUCUUGAGAUUUGACUGACUUAGGUGGCGUGAUCUUCGGAGGCAUUUGGGAACUGAAGAUUCGUUGAUGGAACCCAGACGGAGAGAGCCAAGCUCGAGAACGAGAGAAUGGUGCUUCUCAUCCCCCAGAAGGAGCUCCAAUUUGCUCCAUCUUCAACAGCAGCAGCAGCAUUCAUCCAACAAAAGGAGCGGCGGCAGCGAUGAGGGUUGAAAGGCGAAGGAUUCUGAAAGAAACUAAAAGCAAAAACUCCGGCUCACGCAAAGCCUUCGCCCCCAAUUCAAAAAUUGUUUCGAUUGUGUCUUUCGUUCGACCUCCGUGAUCGGGCCGAGGUCCGGUGGCGCCGGCAGCGUGCGACCGGACGGCGGCUCUGCAACCCGGAAGAAAGCUCCGACCACCAACCCAACCGUGGCUGAUUCGAAGGUGGAGACGCUGUGUGACUUGCUCGAUGGAGGAUUGAUAGCUUUGGACCCUAUUCUUACAAAAAAAAUUGAGUCUUUCGAAAUGGGCAUCGGGAAUUAGUUGGUACUCCAUCGAUCAGUUAAAUUUUGCUCUCUUUAUGCUUGUUUUUUUGGGAUACACUUAUUGGUGGAGAGGAAUCACAACAUGUGUGUCUGCUGCUUGUUCCAUGAGUUAUGGAGGAUUUCUAAAGAACAACCACCUCUCGCUCAAUUCGUAGUGCAUGCUGGCAGACUUUUUAAUGAAUUUUGUGUGGUACGUUCUGAAAUUUUUAACUGACUGCAAAAUGGAAAGUGGUAUGUGCAAGUCUGAUGCCAGUGGAUGCCUUAAAGCUUUUACUUCAUUUUCAACGACUUAAAAAAGGGCAUUAGCAAUCACGGCAUUUUCUUUUUUGUCUCUGUUAGUUCUCUGUAAUUGGGAUGUGCUUCGAGCUUUCCCUUUGUUCAAUACUUUUCUUUCUGCUUGGAUGCUUUUUUGUGUCUGCUAUAUCGAGGAUACUGAGGUGAUUUGUGUAGUUCCCUUCCUUUUCAUUCGGAUGUAAGUUCUUUGGCUGCACUUGAUGAUUGUGUGUAAGUUGACUAUGAGAAGUUGAAUUGGCUUGUGAAAAAGAUACAUUAGCCUAUUGUUGUUUGCACUUUUUAGCUAGAUCGAGGAUUAGAACUCUAUAACUAUGACAAGCCAACAAAAGUUGGUUCUUUCUUGACACAUAGAUCACCAAAACCACCAACCAAGAUAACUCAUGUUGGAUCUGUGAGAUGAGGUAUCAAAUGUUAAAGCUACUACUAGAUUGUGUUUCCUGCGUAUAAAAUGCAGGUACCUGUGUGGUCUGCCUUCUGGUUUUUGGAGUGCUUUUGGUGUGGACUUUAUGCAGGAACAUUCGCCAUAGUUUUGAUCCUUGACCUACAUAAUGCAAUACAAAGAGGAAUUGAUGUUUUGUUGCUAACUAAAGGUCUCUAAACUCUCAUCAUCAUAUUCAAAGCUAAUUUAUCAAUUCCCUAUGAUCGGCCACCAGUGUUCAAUUUUUUUAAAAGAUUUUUAAUCCUCGUAUUGAUCUUCUGUACAUCUUACUCUAAUAUUUGGUUCAAGUCCAUUCAUCAGCGAUUUUUUCAACAUAUCUUGCCUCAUGCUGUCAAAAUAUUCUAAAUCUCCUUCUCUUUCAUACCUGUCUUUUUUCUUUUGUUGUUUUAUCUCCGACUUUAUUGGGCGUGAAUUUGUUUUUAGGUAGAAGAUGGCAACCGCAGAAGAAAACAACAAUGUGAAAACUCUUGAAACACAGCCCAGCAAGUGGAGAAACGAGAAGUCCAUCAUCUGGGAACACUUCACAAUAGAAAUUGUGAGUCCUGGAUGCAGAAGGGUGUGCUGUAAGCAGUGCAAGCAAAGUUUCACCUAUGGCACAGGCUCAAAGGUCACUAACACCAGCCAGCAAACAAGCUUUUGAUUCACCAAGUACUGGCCCAAUUACGUGAGGAAAGGCAUCAAUGAGUUUUUUGUGGACCCAUCAAUUAGUUUCCCCUCAAAAUCAUGGCAGACGCACGCCAUUGAACCUUUGGAAGAUCCUUCGUGGAAAGUUCUGUCGAUGUUUGGCUUGAGGACUUGGUGGUUUCCAUCUUAUGGGAUCUGGUAAGUUUUGAUGCUUGAAAAUAGAGGAAUAUCUUCAUGUUCAAAUGUGCCAAAAAGUGACCGUGAUCAGUUCGAAAGGUGGGGGCUUUGAGGUGGUUACCAAUCUUCAAUGGCCAUCCUUCAAUUCAAAUAACUUCCUGAUUUCAAAUGCGAUGCCGAUCUCAGAGGCCAACCUUGUCUGUUUCAUCCUUUGACAAAGAAGGAACAGAUGUUUGACAGUUUCAGGUUCCUUUUCGCAAAGAGGGCAUGUCGACUCAGGUUCCUUUGAGAGAGUUAGCAAGAUAGGACUAUGGUCGGUGCCUAUAAGAGGCAUACGCUUCCAUUCUGGGAUGUCACUCUUCAUUCCACAUUGCAUGGAGCUUUAUCUAGUCUUUCUUUCACAUGGGCAUCCCCAUUCCUCUUAUUUGCCAUGUAAAUGCACAUCCUUUGCAUUUAUAAUGUCUAAUAUCUCAAAAAGCCAUUGACCUUUGGUGCUCCACCAUAUGCUUGCGUACUUUUUCCCAAUGAUACAAAAACCAAAUUGACGGAAGCUGGUUUUGGAGGCUGAUUAUUGGAGCAUGUACAAAGAGGAUUUGAGGUGUCGAAUUCUUCCAUUGAAGAUGCACGAGAGGCAGGCACCUUACUUCCUGUGAGAAAAGUACGCCAGAAGCAGCUAUUCCUGUAAAUUCAUUCUUGGGGUCGUAUCACUAUACACUGUAAUGGCAAAAUGCUGUCCAAAGACAAUGCAAUGCUCUGGGAGGCUGAUGGGGUAGGUCGGGAUUUGGGGUUUAAAAUUUGGGCGAGGAUUAACCACGGUUGUUGCUUUCAGCUGAUAUUAUGGUCAUUGAUUGCAUGCCCUGUACUUGUAGGGCGUGAUGCUAUAGAAUGGAGAUCGGGUUGUAUCAAAAGCUGGGUUGGGGUUAGCUUAUGGAACAGUGAACAUGAUUUAUGGGAAGGUUGGAGAUUUUGGGUAAAGGGCCGAAGUUGAAAAGGAAACGGGAGAUUUGCAUCUCGGGAGAGAUUAUAUGAAAUGACUGCUGUAUUCAGUGAAGAGCAUUAGGGUUUUCUGGGUGAAAACUACCACCAUUGGGGUGGGAUUCCCAUCGAGAGAGGAUAUCUAUUAAUUCCAACUCAAUUGGGU
Eucalyptus grandis is the source of this 3431-nucleotide long non-coding RNA. RefSeq lists it as uncharacterized. The record is from RefSeq and is a predicted model, not a curated record. NCBI's taxonomy places the organism in Eukaryota, Viridiplantae, Streptophyta, Magnoliopsida, Myrtales, Myrtaceae. The transcript is spliced from 6 exons.